Long non-coding RNA from Scylla paramamosain (green mud crab), 3824 nucleotides. RefSeq lists it as uncharacterized. Lineage: Eukaryota; Metazoa; Arthropoda; Malacostraca; Decapoda; Portunidae. The transcript is spliced from 4 exons. The record is from RefSeq and is a predicted model, not a curated record.
AAAGGGAAGAGGAAUAAAGAUGAAUGAAUGGAAGAAUUAUGUUUAGCUAGUGAUGUCUGGCAACUGAAUACAGAUAAGGUUGCAAUAUAUCAGAGCGAGUGAGUGAGUGCGUGCGCGAGUGCCUUGCGGAAAAGAAAGGAAAAGAGAGAGAGAGGAAAAAUAGUUGUGUUCUAUCACGUGAUCGUAGAAGUUAAGCUACUACUACUAUUACCACCACCACUACUACUACUACUACUAUACAACCACCUACUAUCACCACUUCUACCACUACAACUACCACUACGACCAGCACCACAACUAGAAGUACCACCUCCACCACAAUCAUUACCACCACUACCAUCACCACCACCACCACCACUGCUGCUGCUGACACCACCUCUAGCAACCUACAGAUUCAAGUAGUGAAGAGGUGGCAGGAACAUGAUUACGAUUCGCAGCAGGCUUGUGUGACGUGAUGGCGACGGUGGUGAGGUGAUGGAAGGAGAAGAACAUGAAAGAACGAACCCGUAUAGGAUGCUGCUACAAUUAUUACCAUCACCACCACCACCACUACUGCUGCUGCUGCUGCUACUACUACUACUAGUACUACACAUCCCUCUUAUUAACACUGCAUAACUACAGAAAAACAACAUUAAAAGAAAAAACGGACAAGACAAAAACAAAGAAACGAAUAAAGCGAAAUUGUACAUAUUAAACAAAAAUAAAUAAAAUUAAUAAAAAUCAAUAAAACUUAUUAAUAUGUCCUUUUUCUAUAGUUUGUGCUCUUAUCAAUAUAUCUGGCACCAUUGUUAAUAUAAUUUGGCACCUUUAUAGAUAGACCAUGCCCUUAUCAGUAAAUAAUGUCCUUUUUUAUGUAGUCUGUGCACUUAUCACCACGCACAAUUGAGAAUAUAGGCUAGGCUUUCAACUGACAUACUUUCAAAUUGCGCCCUGGUGAAAUAUACGGUCUCUCUUUCUAUAGACUGUUAUUAACUCAACACCUGUAUGUUCUUUUGCAAUUUACAGCUAUAGAGUAUAUCUUCAUCGUCCUUCUUUGUAUAAACUGUCAUUAAUUCAAUGUCUUUAUUUUUCUUUGCAAUAAUUACCCUAACCAAGACGUAAGUAUAGAAUAAAAGAUAAGGAAGAAAAUGAGUAUACCAGAGAGAGAGAAUACCCACAAAUACCCCCCCAAAAAAUAAAUAAAUAAAUAAAUAAAAAUGAAAUAAAAAUAAAUAAAAAUAAACUAAAAUAACAAUAAUUUUCACCCACCGCACAUGCCUGCCACCAUCCAAUGAAAACAAGAAUAAACAUUUAUAUAAACAAAUACCCAGAAAUAUCAAUAAAUAAAUAAAUAAACGAACAAACACAUUUGAACCCACACAUAUACCCAAAAACCAACAAACACACAAACACUCAGUUAAACCCAAUCACCAAUAAAAUAGAUAAAUAAAUAAAUAAAUAAACACAUUUAAACCCAUACACAUACCUGCAAACCAACAAACACACAAACACUCAGGUAAACCCAAUCAUCACAUCUACCUGGCCUGUCACCACCAAGACUCAUCACUACAGGAAGGAUAAUGAAAUACCUGCCAAGAGUUUGUUAACAGUUCACUAAUGCUUUAACAAAAAUAACUUUGUUUAUUUCCCGUAACUGAGUACAACUACCAUGCCCUAUAGUGGUACUUAAUGCCUAGCUGUGUGUGUGUGUGUGUGUGUUUAGGAUCAGGAGCUAGACUUUUCAUAUUUCCAACUCAUAACUUCCCUUGUGUGUGUGUGUGUGUGUGUGUGUGUGUGUGUGUGUGUGUUUAGGAUCAUGAGCUGGACUUUUCAUAUUUCCAACUCAUAACUUCCCUUGUGUGUGUGUGUGUGUGUGUGUGUGUGUGUGUGUGUGUGUGUGUGUGUGUGUGUGUGUGUGUGUGUGUGUGUGCCUCUAAUGGAGUGGUAGGUACAGUACAGUACAGUACACACAAGUACAGUUUUAUAUAUAUAUAUAUGCUGUAUAUAUAUAAAGAGACGAGUUUAUAUCACAAGGCUGAUCACAGACAUGAACAGGAAACUUGCUGUGAGGGUUGGCACUGUGCCACCAUCACCCUUGCCUCUCUGGCCUGGAUUCUGAAACACUUCACUCACUCACCACCCAUUCUCAAAGGCCACAGCGAUGAUUAGCCAUGUUCUCAAGAGUGUUUCUCCACAUAAUAAAGCAGAAAUCUUGUUAAUCUGUCACUAUGAGUAAGAAAACACCCUUGGAAACCCAUGUAGUUUCAACCAGAGCCUUUGAGAGUAGUGGAGGUGCAUGCGAGAAAGAAGUGUCUCAGAAUACAGUCCUUUAUGUGAGUCACUGUCCUCAUAGGUACAUGAGAGGACACCCUGGUUACAUUCCCCAAAAAAUCAUUUAUAUGUACAAGUCAAAAUCAAAGCAAGAGAAAUUUGGAGGGUUUUACCAAGCAUAUCACUGAUUAACUGAAUUUUCUGGUUAAGGUCAAAUGGAAUAGCAGGAAAUUGACCUUUGAAAGAACCUGUAUCUUUUUAAUCUAUUCCCAUGUCAUGUCUGGUGAAUGAGAUGGAUCAGCAAACUCUGCAAGCACGAGUGAAGUGAAUAAGGAACUGCAGGGAGACAUGUGGGCACUUCUUCCAAGGCUUUUUGUUUAUAUAGAAGCCAGCCCAGUGUUGUCUCCGAAUAGAACACAGGCAGUGAGCAAACAUUGACACCAGAGCCUUGUACAAUCUAAUGGUUACACCUAUGGCCUGUCCUUUCCCUCACCCACACCUAGCUAAGAACAGAUGAAUACAGCUCUUAUAUUCAUACCAUUCCUCUUUUCUCCCCCUCCCACAUACCUAAAGAACACAUAAAUAAACUUGUUCUUAUAUUCAUACCAUCCCUCUUCUCUUCUUUACCCACAACCAGUCAAAGAACAUAGAAACCCAGGCUCUUCUGAUCAUACUCCUGUCUUCUCUCCCAUACCCCCAUGAAUGCAAGCUCUUAUGUUCAUACUGAUCCUCUUUUCUGUUCCUCAAUCAUAUCUAGCAGCAAAACAAUGAUAUCUCUUGUGGUUUCUGGUAAUGUCUCCUCUGAAGAUUUUAUUUUUAAGUUCUGUUUUUUACCUGAAGCAAUUUCUCUAUGUAAGUUUUUGGCGUGGGUGUGUGAGCCUUGCUGGGUUUACUACUAGAUUUGGUGAACACUCUCUGUAUUCCUCGAGUGUUGGUCUUUGGGGCCUGCUUGGGUCUGGUGCCAGGUUGGUGUUUGGUCCUGCACAAGUGGAGGAGUUAUGAAGCAUUAAGGGCACAAGUUUCAGCAGACGGAAGGCUGGUGUACCAUUCAUGGGGUGUUUUUAUCUCUAACAGUCAAAUCAAGGUUUAUGAAAAUUGGGUUAAGCUCUUGUGCUGUUAUUGGUGGAGAAAUGUGUAAAUGAGAGGGAGUGCAUGCAGGGAAGUCAAACUGUGGCUUACUUCUUGGAGGUAUCAGUGAAAAACAGUGCUAUCUCUUGCUAUCUCCCCUGAAUACCACCAAGGCUAGACUCCUGCACCAUUAAUAAAACAGUGCUAUCUCUUGCCAUCUCCCCAGAAUACCUAUUACUGUUAGACUCCCACAUCAGUAAAAGAAACAGUGCUAUCUCUUAUGACCUUCCCUGAAUACCACCACCACUAUGUCUAUGCUCCCUCAGUUAUGGUCAUUAUUACUGAUUCUAUCACUCUUAUGAAUAGCUAGAUGUCUGUCUGUCUGUCUGUCUUUGCAUCUUGUGUUGUGGUUAGUGUGUUAGUUCAUGUACAAGUGUGGUGAAUGUUUCCAUUAUGUUUGUGUCUGUUUUUCCUACUUUUUUUCUCAUAAAGAGUUAAAGAAAUCA